This 5275-nucleotide long non-coding RNA is filed under the name Macaca nemestrina (pig-tailed macaque). RNAcentral's name for it is "lncRNA (ENSMNEG00000045797.1)". Lineage: Eukaryota; Metazoa; Chordata; Mammalia; Primates; Cercopithecidae. The record is from RNAcentral.
UUAAACCUUGAGUCACCGCAACACAUGUCUCUUGCAAAGGACAAGGUUGGGGGUAGGGUCACAGAUUAACAGUAUCACAAAUACAGAACAAAAUGGAGUCUCUUAUGUCUACUUCUUUCUAUAUAGACACAGUAACAGGCUGAUCUCUUUCUUUUCCCCACAGGGCUGACCCUUAGGAAGUGAGGGUCGGGGGGAGCUGAUUUUUUGGCCCUCAGUGGUGCUGGUGCUGACCUGAGAUGCAGUCCACAGUUAUUCCCGAAGAGGUCGUCUGCACAGCCACCGUUUGCUGUCAGAUCUAUACAACCUGGCAUUUGGCCGUGGCUUCCAGGACAGGCUGGAUGCAGAGUGAAGUCCUCUCCUCACUGUCAAUGUUUACAGAUGUCUCUUUGGAAUACAAUGAAAAGUGUAAAAUGAAUUAAACCAGAGAUAAUCAUAUCACUGUGGGUACAUCCGGAAGAUAUAAUACAACGUACACCAAAGAAAGUGACAGAAAGGUAUGUAAAGUGUAUAACCACUCACAUACCAUUUUAGGACACAAAUAAAACUUCUGCAUAUUACUUCUGGGCAUCACAAUAUAGUUAAAGAUUUCAAAAGGGCAUUGAAAUGAAAAACAACCAAUUUAUUAUGUCGGUAGCCUCUAUGCAAUCAUGUUUCAAAAACCUUAACAUCAAAAUGUCUCAAAAUCCCCAUUCUAAAAGACUGUGUCUACCAGUUAUAAAUGAAUAAAUACUUUUCUCAUUUUUAAUAAAGAUGCCACAAACACACACAUACAAACACCUAUACAUAUACAUACACACACAGCUCAUUAGAACAUCUAAUUGGCUUCAGAUCAUCAGUGUAAUAACACUAGCAGCAAGUCUCUAAAGUUAAAACAGAAACUGACACGUUAAUCAGUUAAGCUUUCCUCCAGGUAAAGAUCAGAACUCCAACUAGCACAUAACUCACUGGAAAUAUCUGAGAGUCUCAAAAUUCACUGCUUUGAAUCCCUGUCAUGUAUAAAAAUUUUGUAUUGAAAACUUUCAUGAGGGGUCCUAAAUCUACAUCCCUAGCCCAAAUCUCAUUUCUGAGCUUUAGACUCAUCAUUUUACUGCAUACUUGGUAUGACUGCUUUGAUGUCCCAUAGGCAUCUCUUAAGUGAAACAUCAUUCCUUCCAAGCCUACUCCUCCUAUAUUCCUUUUCUCAGUGAAUGCCAUCCAUCUUCACAAGUAGGAAACAUAAACAUUAACAUAAAUUGCUAUCCUCACUACCAUCGUCUGCACCCAGCUUCCAAUUAAAUGGUUUCACACCAAAUCACUAGAACUUGGACUGAGUGUGGCGUCUAAUGCCUGUAAUAUCGGCAGUUUGGGAGGCCAAGGCAGAAGGAAUGCUUAAGCUCAGGAGUACGAGACUAGCCUGGGCAACAUGGUAAAUUCCCAUUAAAAAAAAAAAAAAAACUACCCAGGACUGGUGGUGCACACCUGUAGUCCAAGUUACUAGACUGAAGGGGGAGGAUCAAUUGAGCCCAGGAGGUCAAGUCUGCAGUAAGCCAUGAUUGUGCCAGUGCACUCCAGCGUGGGCAACAGAGCGAGACCUUGUCUCAAAAAAAAUUCAAAUGAUUAUUCCACAAACACUUAUAAAUCAAGCUGAACAUCUAUGCAUGAAGAAGUGUUAGACAUGGUUUCUACCUGAUGGGAGCUCAUCAUGUGUGGAGAAAUGGAUGCUAAAAGUGUCACGAUAGAUGUAAGCACAGGCAGCCAUGGAAGCACAUAGAACAAGGAGCUAACCCACACUGGGCAAUAACUGAAGGCUUCUUGAUGGUGCUGAUACCUAAGCUGCAGCUUAAAACACAACUCAGGGUUACCCAGACCAAACUCUCCACUGGCUGAAAUCUAUUUGACACUCAGAAAAUGUUUGUUGAUUAUAAGAACGUAAGUAGUGACCCUAUGAAAUUUACAUUACUGGCUAACCCAAUUAACUGAAUACAUUUACUUACAUCUUCAGUUUGUUAUCUUAAAUUACAGGCUUUUCCCUUUUAUUUGCAUAAUAUAACAUAUUCUUUCUUCAAAUCCAACAGUGCAAAGAUAAAAGUCAAACUCAACUCUAUUCCUAACGAGUUUCAAAUUCAACAAAUAUUAUUAAAUAUUACUUACAAAAGGUGUCAGGCACUAAAAAAUAAUUUUUUUGUUUCUUUUGUUUUGUUUUAGACAGGAACUCACUCUGUCACCCAGGCUGCAGUGCAGUGGCACAAUUACAGGUCACUGCACCCUCGACCUCCUGAGCUCAAGUGAUCCUCCUACCUCAUCCUCCUGAGUAUCUGAGACUACAGGUGCAUGCCACCAUGUCUGGCUAAUUUGUGUGUUCCUUGUAGAGAUGGAGUUUUGCUAUGUUGCCCAUGUUAGCCUUGAACUCCUGGGCUCAAGCGAUCCACCUGCCUUGGCCUCCAAAGUGCUGAGAUUACAGGUGUGAGCUACCACACUUGGCCAAGGAAAAGGUUUUCAAUGGAUAUGUAAGUAAAUGUUAGUAAAGAGUGAUGGAGUGUGGAAAAAGCAAGUGAAAUCUCACUUGUAAGAAGGACUCUGCCCUGAUGAUAGUAUCCAGGAAGUUGGUAAAUUCUUUUCCAUGUUCAUAAUUAUUCACCUUGUACCAAAAUACAUUCUAGAGCAGAAAGAGUAAAUAUAAGCAUCUAGCUGUACCACAAUAAAAAAAUGCACAAAACAUAAUUAUCACUAAAGUGACAAAUAAGUGGCAAAGUAAAAAAGCCAUUAGUCUCAUACAUCCUAGCUAACUCAUGAGGUAGACUAGAACAGAUAUGUUCAACAACGUGGUAAUAUAGGGAAAAGCUUAUAGUGAAAACAAAAAUGGAGAACUCACAUAUAAUGAAUAAGGUAAACUUUACAUCACAUAUAAAUCCAAGAAAGUAUAAACAUCUGAAUUGAAAGUUUUAGACUACCCUAAACUUCAAUUAAGCUGGGUAUAAUGUAAGAAUGAUAGAAAUUUAGUAAGUGAAAACCUAAUAAACUCUCAUAUUCUGUUUAAAAGAUUCAGAGUAGAAGAAGGAAAAUUGGCCUGGAACCAACUAAAAGCAACUUUAACAACCAGAAGAAUCCAGAGUUGCUUAUCCACUGAUGAAAUACUCAAUUUGGUCAAAAGAAAUAUCACUGGUCUACUGUCCCCCACCACUGGAGGAAUGAAAUGCCCAGGCUUUACUAUGGCCUGGAUGAAAGACUUCUCACUGCCUUUUCCUUUAAUUCUAUGAUUAAGAAAUCUUCUAAUGACAAAUUUGGUUCCCAUAUACACUGACAGCAGAAAAGGGGUAUUCUAGUUAGCAGAUAUGAACAUUUUGCUUACAAUAAUUUUUUUAAUUAGCUGACAAUCUGGCUUAUACAUUAGUCUCCUGAAUAUGGUUCACACAGAAUCCUUGGUGACUGACAUGUAUUUAAAUAUCUAUAAUCUCCUCUAAGAUCUGAAUGGUUAUUAUUUGGAUUUAACAAAAGAAAGCCAUGCAAGUUGUUUGGGCUUUAGAUACUUACUCUUUUUAGGGGAUAAACAUUAACUGGACCUAACAUCAACUUCAGAGGUUCUAGAGAAGGUCCCUGGUUUCCUUGUUUCAGGGCAAGCAGAGCCGUCUUUCAUAGAUUCUCUGAAUUCUUAAAAUAGAUCUAUAAAUUUGGAUAUAAAGUACAAGAGAGUAGGUAUUCAUAAAUUAGAACAACAUAAAGUCUAAAACUCCUCAUUAAUUGGAAAUAAAUUAUGAAAUCCUGGACACUUUAUUGAGUGAAUGAAGACAUCUAAUUCAUUUGGCAAGUCAGUUAUGAGAGCUUCUACCAUUUCUGUGUGACAUGUAAUACUGUAAUAAACCGACAUGUAAUACUGUAAAGCUCUGUAAAAAAAUUUUAACCCAGCCUAUUUGUAUAAAGGAGAUGUUAACAAUUCAUGCUCCCUUGAACCUCUUCAUUUUUACUUUUAGGACAGGAGCAUUCAUUAACACACUCAAUCAAUUACUAAACACACACAAUCAGUUUCUAAAAUAAAUAUGAUCAAGCAGUAACCGAAAACCUCAACUUAAGGCUAUCAUACCCAAACUCAACUAUUCAGAAGCCAAUUUAAGUAAUCCAUGCCUCCUUGGCAAGAGUGUAUGGAUAAUACCUUUUCCUUGUGAUAGUAAAGCCUAUCCAUUUUCUUACCCUCACCCAGUAUCAGCUUUUAUGCUUUACAGACAAAGCAGAUAAUGAACAUACUGCUUGGAAAUCUUGAGUUUUUAUUAAAAGGUACACAUAGAGUUAUAUCUAAAUCACUGGCUACAAUGAUCUAAAAUGCAGAGUUUUAUCUAAAUAAUUUGCUAUGAUGGUGUAAAACCACUUUAUUUACAUCUUAUAUUAAUCACAGGACAAAAAAUCAUACACUACCUUUAUUUUCAGAACUACAGUCUGUUGCUAUCUGGCGCAGGCAACAUGUCUUCAUAACCCUAUGAUACUAUGUAUUUACCCCCAAGCAAACAGAAGUGAUAUCCAGGCCCCCCUUCCACAAUCAACAGCCUAGAGAAGGAAAAUCAAAGACACUGAGACAAUUCAUUUUAGCAAGAAGUGAACCUGCCACCCCAAAUAGCAGAAAACAAAAUUUUAAAAGUAAACUGUAUAAUUUAUAUGAACAGUAUUCACAAAAGUUAUUCACAGUAUUUUAAAUAAAAAAUUACACAACUGUGUUUCUGAAAAUGUUACAAUAAAAUUAUAUCUGUGUGUAAAAUGUCUGUUUUAUGUGUACAUUUGUGUGUGUGAGAAAGGGGGUUAUGAAUUAUCAAGCAUAUGUACCAAAACAUUAGAAGUUAUCUUUGCAUAAGGAGAUAAUGAUUUUUACUUUCUUCUUUAUGCCUUAAUAUAUCAUCAUCUCAAAAUUUACAAUCAGAAUUCAUUAUAAGCUAUUGUAUAUGUAUGUAUGUAUAUAUGUAUGUAUGUAUGUAUGUAUGUAUGUGUGUGUUUAUUUAGUGAGACGUGGUCUCACUCUCUUACUCAGGCUGUAGAGUGCAGUGGCGUGAUCUUGGCUCGCUGCAACCUCAGUCUCCCAGGCUCAAGUAAUCCUCCCCACCUGAGCCUCCUAAGUAGCUGAGACCAACUAAAGUUGUUUUCUUCAGUUUAAAGUAAGUUGUCAUAAUUAUGUUGUUUAGUCUCAUGGUAACCAGAAAACAAAACCCAAUAAUAGACGCCCUACACAUAAAGAGGAAUUAAAACACACUACUGGAAAAAAUUACUUCACUACAAAUAAAUACAGGAAGGAAGGCAAGGAGGAGAGAAAAAAAAG